Molecule: ribosomal RNA, 396 nt
Filed under: uncultured bacterium
Lineage: Bacteria
Description: bacterial SSU rRNA
Rfam family: Bacterial small subunit ribosomal RNA
Source: RNAcentral
AUUGAACGCUGGCGGCAUGCUUUACACAUGCAAGUCGAACGGCAGCACGGGGGCAACCCUGGUGGCGAGUGGCGAACGGGUGAGUAAUGCAUCGGAACGUACCCAGUCGUGGGGGAUAACGCAGCGAAAGUUGUGCUAAUACCGCAUACGACCUGAGGGUGAAAGCGGGGGACCGUAAGGCCUCGCGCGAUUGGAGCGGCCGAUGUCUGAUUAGCUAGUUGGUGGGGUAAAGGCCCACCAAGGCGACGAUCAGUAGCGGGUCUGAGAGGAUGAUCCGCCACACUGGGACUGAGACACGGCCCAGACUCCUACGGGAGGCAGCAGUGGGGAAUUUUGGACAAUGGGGGCAACCCUGAUCCAGCCAUGCCGCGUGCGGGAAGAAGGCCUCGGUUGUAA